This 3799-nucleotide long non-coding RNA is filed under the name Homo sapiens (human). RNAcentral describes it as "HSALNT0155881". The record is from RNAcentral. Lineage: Eukaryota; Metazoa; Chordata; Mammalia; Primates; Hominidae.
UAGAGACAGGGUUUUGCAGCGUUGGCUGGGCUGGUCUCGAUCUCCUGACCCCAAAUGUUUCUCCCGCCUCAGGUUCUCAAAGUGCUGGGAUUACAGACAUGAGCCACCAUGCCCGGUCAGACUCUGGAUAUUAGGCUGUGAGUAUUUUUAGUUAUUUUAAUUUUUAUUUAUUUAUUUAGAGACAAGAUCUUGUUCCAUUGUUCAAACUGGAGUGUAGUGGCAUGAUCUUAUCUCACCGCAGCCUUUAAUUUUAAAGAUAGGGUCUCACUUUGUCACCCAGGAACCUCGAACUCCUGGGCUCAAGCAAUCUUCCCACCUCAGCCUCCCAAGUAGCUUGGAUGACAGGUAUGUGCCACCAUGCCUGGCUUUUGUUGUUUUUGUUAGAGAAGUGGUUUUACCAUGUUGCCCAGCCAGGCUGGCCUCAAGUGAUUCUCUUGCCUCAGUCUCCCAAAGUGCCUGGGAUUACAGGCAUGAGCCACUGGGCCUGGCCUAUUUUUAGUUUUGUAUUGGGCACAAUUGUUUAAAGUAUUCAAGGAAUCAGUUGCCAUGACAGUUUGGCUCUGUGUCCCAAAGCGUGCUCUGAGGCUCUGACACCAGAGUUCCACGGUCAAAGGCCCCUGAGAAGUGCUAUGUUAAGGGAACAGCUUCCUCGCCUAGAGGGGUCUACUUUAAUAUGCCAAGGAGCAUGGGAAUCUUGAACAGGAGACUGGAAUCCACAGUCUGCCUCCAUUCAACUGAUCUUGGUUUUCCAGAGCAAAGCCUGGGAUCAGCAUUCCAAGGAACACACUUUGGGAACAUAGUCGGUGGAAGGCUCUCAUAACUAAAAGGUCUCUCUGUUUCUGUAUUAGUUCCUUACCUACUGUGGAGUACAAAUUAUCCCAAACUUAGUGGCUUAAAAUAGGCAUUUUAGUAUCUCAGCUUCUGUGGGUCAGGAAUUCAGAUGUGGCUUAGCUGGCUGGUCUGUCUUAAGGUUGCCAUCAAGAUGUCAGCUGGGGCUGUGGUCAUCUGAAGCCUUGACUGAGGAUAGAGGAUCUGUUUCCUAAAUGGCUCACUGACAUGGCUGACAAAGAGGCUUCAGCUCCAUGCCAUGCAGACUUCAGCAGGCUGCUUGAGUUUCCCCACAAUAUGGCGGCUGGCUUCUCAGAGUGAGUGAUGCAAGAGAGUGAGACUGAAGCUGCAGUACCUUUUAUGACCUAGCCUUGAACAGUACAUGCAGUCAUUUCCUCAGUAUCCUAUUGGUUAUGCAGGCCAGCCUGAUUGAUUGUGGAAAUGUGUGAAUGCCAGGAGGUGCGAAUUGUUUGGAGACCAUGUUGGAGGCCAACUGCCUUAGUAACCAUCACUUUGGUACCAGGACAUGUAACUUGCCUCAUUUGCACAGUUGCUUUUUCUUACCAUUUUGUAGACAUGAGUAACAUUGGGAAGUGAACCUGUUAACCUGUGAUAUGAAGAGAAGGGGAAGAGACCAAAAAUUUAUCAGCCACACCAAGCCCUGGAAAACAGCGGUACUAAUAACCCAGCCUCCCUUCCUGGGUGCUCACUCUGUACCAGGUACCUCAUGGGCCUCAGGGUGCUAUGCAACCCCUGUCCCCAUGAGCAGGUUCCACUGAUAUUUUCAAGUCAGGCCACUCAUGCCUAUGAAAUGCAUGAAAUGAGAUUUUUUUGUGAUGUUGGCUAUGGCAACACACGUGGCUCUGCCUGAUGGAAGCUGAGACAAAAUUGGUAACCUGAGCGAACCCGUGUGGAGAAGAUUUGAGCAGAGAGUAAGCUUAGGAUGGAUAAAUGCCCACGAUAAACAAAUAAUAAAUAGAUGAGAUGAAAUAUUUAUUUCAUGUACAGGAUGAGGAUUAAAUACGUUAACAAGAUGAGGAGUCAGGGUGAGCCUGGGGAAUCCCUGGUUUCACUGGAGCCUCCUGGCUGGGAGAAGUGUCACGUCUCCAGGCUGGGGCAGCGGCAGGGCUCCCUGGUUGGGAGGUCUAGUGGUGACACGUGGAACACCUGGUGGUGAGCCCCAGAAUGCCUGUGUCCCAGGCCGACCCAUACUGGUCAUGAGCUGUGUGAUCCAGGCAAGUGACUUCACGGACCUCAGUUUCCCAUCUGCAAAAUGGGAUGAUAACAGCAAACUUCACCACUUGUGAUGAGGAUUCGGAGAGUGAAUCUUUGGCCCAGCACAAGGCCUGUAAGGUGUUUCACAUGGCAGAGUUGGUGGCGGGUCACCAAGGUGGUGGUGUCCCAGGUUGAAGGAACCUUUCUAGAAAUUCCAUUGCCUGGAAGGAUCCAGUGACACACAGUGGACCCUGAGCCACAAAACAGACUGUGGUAACUGCUGGGGCCUCCCGCAGGGUGAUCCCCGAGGAGGCUGGGAGGAGCUCAGCCCUUUCUUCUGCUGGGGGCAUGUGCAGGCAUGGAGACUGCCCGGCCCCUUCCUGUCCUGUUGGGGCAUGAUUUUCAACAGAGGGAGGAUUCUGGGCAUGUUUUCCUUUGGAAGUCUCACCAGGCUGAGCAGGACUUAGAGGAACUCCGGCUACGUUUGCUGUCCCAACAAAUAGACCAGGGUUCCCUAAGUGUCGCUUCCUCCAAGAAGCCCUCCCUGAUGAGUUGAGCCACUUUAGUUUGUGCUCAGGCUCACCCUGCACGUCUUGGUUGCUCUCAUCACUGUAAUGAUCUAAAACACACGUCUGCUCAUGAGACCCGCAUCCCACCCCCGAUGCUGGGGCCGCUCUUGGAUUUUCAUGCCUGCUGCCAGCACCCAGGGGGAGCUCCGGAAAUGUCUGCUGGGGGCUCGGAAUACCCACCUUUCUGGUAAUGCAGCCCAGCGGGUCCCAGCCUCGUUUUCCAGCCCUCACUCAAAAUGGAGUCGCUCUGGUUCGAACGCCUCUGACAAGUGUGUACCUACGUGUCAGGCCCAUCCUUCCUGCAGGCCUUUGUCUUGGUGUCACCCUGCCUGAGCUGGCCCCAACCACAGUAGCAACAGUGAUGCUGAUGUGUGACUGCUGCCAGGAGCCUGCUCACAUGACCGUGUGGAGAAAGUUCUUUCCCUGAGGACCAUCUGGAGUGGACGCGUGCACUACCCCUCUCUGAAUACACCCUCCCCACGAGGCCCUCUGGAGCAUCCUGUAGAGCCAGCCCCUACCCAGAGACCCUGAGCCCAGAGAAUGCGCUGGGUGGUGAGCCUGGGGACGAAUGCAGAGCCCUAGGUCUCCUCUCCAGAAAGACCGGAUUUUGCCAUGUUGGCCAGGCUGGUCUUGAACUCCUGACCUCAAGUGAUCCACCUGCCUCGGCCUCCCAAAGUGCAGGGAUUACAGGUGUGAGCCACUGCACCCGGCCUCAGGCAGGUAUUUUUACCAGCCGAAUACUCUUGCACUGUGCACUCUUCGUGUUCAUCAUCAGUCCCCCGGAUGGGUGUUUAAGGCAUUUCCAAAGCUCUGUUAUUAAAAACACGAUGCAAUGAGUUUCUUUCAGCAUUUCCCCUUGUUGCCGUGUGAAUGCGUCCGUGGUAUAACUUCCUAAAAGUGGAAUCGCUUGGUCAAAGGGUGGGUGCAUUUAGCAACCUGAUGGCUUUCCAGGAGACAAGUGCUGCCUCCCGGCCACGAGCUUUUAAGAAGAACUGUUGAUGGAACCCGAGCUGGAGUCCCAGGGACCGGGGCGAGUUCUCCAUCCCAGGGGAUUUUCAGAUGGGACACUGGGGAGAAGCUGCCCUGCCCAUCUGAACUCUAUGAUCCCAGUACUAACACUGGUAGCUGUGCCAUCCCCAGUAUAGAGACAGCACCGUGCUCUUGGGAGGGUGAGUCAUUGGCCCCCG